UUAUUUUUCUAUUUCUUUCUCUCUUGCUCACGAGAUGGUGAUGGCGAAAUCAAAGACAAACGAAUUGGGAAUGGGUGAUUUUGGUGAAACUAUGUUCUAUGCUUCUCCUGGGCCGGUUUGUGAAGAGAGACGAUUUUUAAACCACCAAAAGUCCAAAACACUUGGUGGUUGUGGACAUACAAGUCUACUGAGAUAACCAAUUUUGCAACUUUUUGAGAAGAGGUUAGGGCUCAACCGGAGUAUACCGAGAUUUGAAGAUAAUGUUGGUCUGUAUAGGGGUCUUGACCAGCUCGGCUAUGCAAAAAUUUCGGUUAUGUUUGGCCACUUUAGGUCUCUUAUUAUUAGAAAGUUAAUUAAUUUCAUCAGAACAAUAAUGAUAAUAAUAUAAUUAAUAAUGUUACGUUAUAUUGAGUUCA
Molecule: long non-coding RNA, 416 nt
Organism: Camelina sativa (false flax)
Lineage: Eukaryota; Viridiplantae; Streptophyta; Magnoliopsida; Brassicales; Brassicaceae
Source: RefSeq, a predicted model, not a curated record